CCUUAUCCAACCAGGACUAAGCCUGGGGUUCAUCAUUAUUCAUUUUCAGACCUAACAGGGUGCUCUGCCCUUUGCUUGGGAGGCGCUUUCAAAUUCCAUUAUGCAGGGGCAGCCGACCAUGAAGCGGGCCGUGGCGGAGGUUGGAAAUUCGAAGUCCCACCUGAGUUGCCGGGGGCUCAGUGUUUCCCAUUUCCCGUCUACUGUGUUUCUUCUCUCACUUCUUCGGAAAUUGGGUAUUAAUCUUGGUGCUGCAGGUUCAGCUACACACGUACACCCAUACACAGAAACAGAACACUGUUUUCUGUCCCCAUCAGAGAACGUCCACGUCGGUGACCUCUGGCCAGCUGAGGCAACGCCUGAGUUCGGACCUCCUUCGUGCGCACCUGGAGGGGGUCUGAAGCAUCCGGAGCAGAUGCCGUCACUGAAUGCUGCGUUUUGCGGAACUCCAUCAUGGACACGUGUUGCUCUGACAAUGCCCGGGCUCGCUCUACUUUCAUGUGCCAGAUACCCAAAGGAGAAUCUGGCUCCAGCCAAGUGUGAGAAUGAUCAGCCAUGGAACACGCCUGGCGGCUGUGAGUUGGAGAAGUGCCCCCAGCUGAGGUCUGGGUGGGCGGGGGUGGCCUCGGGGCUGGACAGGCAUAGGGUGGGACCAGAAAACAGGAGCAAAGAAGCCAACUGGGGGGUGCCUGGUCCAGAGUAGCACAUCUCAAACCGUUUUGUCUAAGGACCUCUUUACAUCAAAAAUUAUAGAGAAAUCCAAAGAGACAUAAAGAGACAAAGAGAUAAGUGGUCUAUAUCUAUCAACAUUGACCUAUUAGAAAUUAAAGCCAAGGCUUUGUAAGACACAAGAACACAAGCAUGCAUGCCCUUAUUGUCAGCGUGAUGAUGCCAGCACACCUGGGGCAGCCACCAGAAGACCCCACUGCAUGCUUCUGAGGGGAAGAGGGAUGAAGGUCAAUAGCAUCUUAGUGUUGUUAUGAAAUUAGUUCUGACCUUGCAGAUCCUCUGAAAGGGCCCUGGAGUCCCGCUCAGUCCCUGACCACAUGGGGAAUGGCCGGCACGGUGGUUCAGGAUGUGAACUCCAGGGCAAGACUGCCUGAGUUUGGAACUUGGCAUCUGCCACUGCUGGCUCAGCAAGUUUCUCACCCUUCCCCCCCAGCACCUCCAUGUCCUCAUCUGAAAAUGGGGCAACGGUGGUGACUCCUUAUAGGGCUGUUGGGGGCACUAGGACACGGCCUGGUACCAGCAUAGGGUCAUGGUGCUUUGGCUCUGGUGAGGCACCAGUUGGGUGGGCUAGCUGGAGGCCCAAGGACUGGCCUUGGGAUCCAGACUCAACACUCGGCCUCCUGGCUCCCAGAGGGGAUCUAAUACUAGGUACCCCCACCCCCACCCC
This 1393-nucleotide long non-coding RNA is filed under the name Ursus maritimus (polar bear). RNAcentral describes it as "lncRNA (ENSUMAG00000011674.1)". The record is from RNAcentral. Lineage: Eukaryota; Metazoa; Chordata; Mammalia; Carnivora; Ursidae.